UUUAGAAUUUUAAAAAACCAUACCCCCUCCAUCCCAUAGACAGGCCACAAAUGAUAGGUGGUGGUAGGUUUUAAAAUGGGUCUUGCGACCCUUUUUUUAAUGAUCCUUCCGCAGGUUCA
RNAcentral lists this unclassified non-coding RNA (119 nucleotides) under uncultured fungus. Its description in RNAcentral is "sequence contains ITS1". The record is from RNAcentral. Lineage: Eukaryota; Fungi.